UACAGAGGUCCCAAGCGUUGUUCGGAUUCACUGGGCGUAAAGGGUGCGUAGGCGGUCGGAUAAGUCUGAUGUGAAAUCUUCGAGCUCAACUCGGAAACUGCAUCGGAAACUAUUCGGCUGGAGGAUUGGAGGGGAGACUGGAAUUCUCGGUGUAGCAGUGAAAUGCGUAGAUAUCGAGAGGAACACCAGUGGCGAAGGCGAGUCUCUGGACAAUUCCUGACGCUGAGGCACGAAAGCUAGGGUAGCAAACGGG
RNAcentral lists this ribosomal RNA (253 nucleotides) under uncultured bacterium. RNAcentral's name for it is "partial 16S ribosomal RNA". It matches the Rfam family "Bacterial small subunit ribosomal RNA", at positions 524 to 776 of the family's 1533-position model. The record is from RNAcentral.